CUGCUCUAAAAAAGAAAUUGAAAAUUGACAUCUGUCUUCACCUGUCAUUUUUAUCUUUCUCCUAGAUAAUGGUUGCAGUGUUGGGGACCAUUUGUUCCAAGGAGAAGUGUGUUGAUCAUAGCUCUGCAUCUGCUGUUCCCAACACCACAGUCCCUGGAGCAGCUCUUCUUGGCCACCCAUUGCAGGAAGAGAAAAUCUUCUCUUCAGAAAUCUUACUUUGAUGUGUACUGGGAAAAAGUGAUUUUCUCAGAUGUAAGGAAACAGCAGAACCUGCACAUUGAGAUGAGUACUUUUUUUUCAGCAUCAAAUGAACAGUUCAGAUGUCAGACCACACCGAUUGCACUAGUGCUUGCUCCGGGAUCUUCCAUGCACCAUGAAUACAGGAUCAAGGAUUCAGAAUAUGUGCCUUGGUGUAUCUUUAUAACCAUCUGACUGUCCCCAAAUCCUUAUUUUGUCAAAGGUUGGAAGGAUUACUUGUAGAAGGUGAUAGGUGAUGUGGACUUUUCAGAGAAGUCACAAGAUUCCCUCCCAAGGACUCCUAUACUAAAGUAAAUAUGAAAAUAGAGUCCUCUUUGACUAUCUCCUUGGAUAGAAAAUAUUUUCAUAAUACACUGCAGUCAUGGUUUUUUUUCCAUCUGUUAUUCAGAAGGAUCACAACAAACAAAACUCAUUCUCCUAAGGGUGCCGAAGACCAACAGCUGUGUGCCAGAAGGAAGAAAAGUCCCAUUGAAGGCAGGUCAUUUUGGGUGAUUACAUCAAAAUCUUCUGGACCUGAGGGAUGGAGGAAAUGAGGUGAAACAAAAUUACCUUAUAAGCUUAUUGAUAAGAGAUGGACUUACAUUUCUGGUCCAUGAAUGUUUCAUAUAAAAUAUUCCAAUAACAUUUUGAAAGCAGUUACCAAUCACUCAAAUCAAAGUAGGCCUACCCUUAAAUUAAAUUAUUUUAUAAGUGGAACCUACAAAGAAA
This 966-nucleotide long non-coding RNA is filed under the name Zonotrichia albicollis (white-throated sparrow). RNAcentral's name for it is "lncRNA (ENSZALG00000003877.1)". The record is from RNAcentral. Lineage: Eukaryota; Metazoa; Chordata; Aves; Passeriformes; Passerellidae.